GAAUGCUUUAGGGUGAUCAAGUUUCCAAUUUUUGGAGUACUUUGGCAGCAUGAGCAUUUGGUUUACUAAAUCAUUUGUCUUUUUAUCUUCUAUCCUCUUUCAAAUAAAAGAGACAAACAGUGCAAAUGUAAGGUCUUUCACAAUGAACAUGUCGUAUGUCUUUUAGAUGUAUGACUUAUGAAAUAGUCAUAAUAGAACUGCUAAUUCCCUCCCCUCUACUAGAAGAGAAGUUCUCAAGAGGAGAAAAUACAAGAAAGAAACAGAACUUUCCCAAGUGUCAGCACCACACAAACUUGAGUUGUUAAGAAAAGAGAGUGAAAUGGGAGUUGGAAUCCAACAUCAGAAGGUUGUAGAAUGACCAGUGUUCCUACUGAAAGCCUAUAUUUCAAUGGGAAUGGACUCUCGCUGUGUUUUUGGGGUUGCACAUGGAGUCCUCAGAUGAAAGGAUGCUCUGAAAGUCCACACUUCUCUUCCCAAACACUAUCAACUUUUCAAGCCACCAUUAUUAAGGAGAACUCCCAGCUGGAAUCAUCCUUAUUUCCUUAUGCAAAUAGAUCACUGGAUAUGUGACUCACUGCACCAUUGAAUCCUGGGAUCAAAUUAACUUACAUUUUCAUGGCUGCGUAGCUCAUGAGCAAUUUUCCAGUCUCUCCCUGUGACUAAGGAGGAAUUGUGUACUAAGACGAUGUAUCCAAAGAUGAAAGUACCCUGAAUCACUGAGACUGCUGCUCUGAAGUCAUCCAGGACUGCAGCAGAUGGAAUGUGAGCAAGUGUAGUGGAAACUCCACGAGCAAGAAAUGAACCCGUGAGGUACCGAGUCCCUGAAUUUUAGA
Molecule: long non-coding RNA, 833 nt
Filed under: Oryctolagus cuniculus (rabbit)
Lineage: Eukaryota; Metazoa; Chordata; Mammalia; Lagomorpha; Leporidae
Description: lncRNA (ENSOCUG00000039668.1)
Source: RNAcentral